AUUGAACGCUGGCGGCAUGCCUUACACAUGCAAGUCGAACGGCAACACGGACUUCGGUCUGGUGGCGAGUGGCGAACGGGUGAGUAAUGUAUCGGAACGUACCUUUCAGUGGGGGAUAACGUAGCGAAAGUUACGCUAAUACCGCAUAUUCUGUGAGCAGGAAAGCAGGGGAUCGCAAGACCUUGCGCUGAUUGAGCGGCCGAUAUCAGAUUAGCUAGUUGGUGGGGUAAAGGCCUACCAAGGCGACGAUCUGUAGCGGGUCUGAGAGGAUGAUCCGCCACACUGGAACUGAGACACGGUCCAGACUCCUACGGGAGGCAGCAGUGGGGAAUUUUGGACAAUGGGGGCAACCCUGAUCCAGCCAUGCCGCGUGAGUGAAGAAGGCCU
Molecule: ribosomal RNA, 387 nt
Filed under: uncultured bacterium
Lineage: Bacteria
Description: bacterial SSU rRNA
Rfam family: Bacterial small subunit ribosomal RNA
Source: RNAcentral